Molecule: transfer RNA, 76 nt
Filed under: Herpetosiphon sp.
Lineage: Bacteria; Bacillati; Chloroflexota; Chloroflexia; Herpetosiphonales; Herpetosiphonaceae
Also listed under: 2 other names
Description: tRNA-Arg
Rfam family: tRNA
About the family: Transfer RNA (tRNA) molecules are approximately 80 nucleotides in length. Their secondary structure includes four short double-helical elements and three loops (D, anti-codon, and T loops).
Source: RNAcentral
GACCUCGUAGCUUAAUGGAUAGAGCAACAGCUUGCGGAGCUGUAGGUUGGUGGUUCGAGUCCACUCGAGGUCGCCA